AAGUAGAGAAAGCCAUGUUUACAUACUGUAAUAUUUCUUUAAGAGAAGCUGUUUUUAAUUUACUAAGAAUACAUUCACAAGAUUUUUGAACAAGAACAUCUUGUUCUGGCAUAUACUAAAAUGUGACUUAUUUUCCUGAGAAAUUAAAGCAAGUUUUGUCUGUAUGUAGAGUGUAAUAUUGUGAGCACAGUUAUUGGCUCACAGAGAUUCAGCUUGAAUUCCUGCAGUAAAUAUUUUUAUAUUGGAAUGAUUUUGUAGGUCACAGAGAAUUUAGUGACUUUUUAUAUAUACUAUCUAGUAUAUAUAUGAGAGAGGUAAUUGAAAAAAAUAGACUUUAAAAAUAAUAGCAUUCUAUAAAUAGUAGGAUAUCUCUAUAAAGCAUAUAAUAUCUAGUGUCCUUCCAGUCAGUGAAAUUUAAUUCCUUCCUCAUCACUAUAAUGUAAAUGCACAUGUCU
Molecule: long non-coding RNA, 455 nt
Filed under: Bos taurus (domestic cattle)
Lineage: Eukaryota; Metazoa; Chordata; Mammalia; Artiodactyla; Bovidae
Description: long non-coding RNA NONBTAT021910
Source: RNAcentral